CAAUAGCGUAUAUUAAAGUUGUUGCAGUUAAAAAGCUCGUAGUUGGAUUUCUGGUGGGAGCGAUCGGUCUGGCGCUUAGCGCGAGUACUUGCAUCGUCUCCGGCCAUCCUUGGGGAGAGUCUGUCUGGCAUUAAGUUGUCGGGCAGAGGAUCCUCAUCGUUUACUGUGAAAAAAUUAGAGUGUUCAAAGCAGGCUUAUGCCGUUGAAUAUAUUAGCAUGGAAUAAUAAGAUAGGACUUUGGUACUAUUAUGUUGGUUUGCGCACCAAAGUAAUGAUUAAUAGGGACAGUUGGGGGUAUUCGUAUUCCGUUGUCAGAGGUGAAAUUCUUGGAUUUACGGAAGACGAACUACUGCGAAAGCAUUUACCAAGGAUGUUUUCAUUAA
RNAcentral lists this ribosomal RNA (383 nucleotides) under uncultured eukaryote. RNAcentral describes it as "partial 18S ribosomal RNA". It matches the Rfam family "Eukaryotic small subunit ribosomal RNA", at positions 592 to 976 of the family's 1831-position model. The record is from RNAcentral.